AUUGAACGCUGGCGGCAUGCUUUACACAUGCAAGUCGAACGGUAACAGGCCGCAAGGUGCUGACGAGUGGCGAACGGGUGAGUAAUGCAUCGGAACGUGCCCAGUCGUGGGGGAUAACGCAGCGAAAGCUGCGCUAAUACCGCAUACGAUCUCUGGAUGAAAGCGGGGGACCGAAAGGCCUCGCGCGAUCGGAGCGGCCGAUGUCAGAUUAGGUAGUUGGUGGGGUAAAGGCCCACCAAGCCAACGAUCUGUAGCUGGUCUGAGAGGACGACCAGCCACACGGGGACUGAGACACGGCCCAGACUCCGACGGGAGGCAGCAGUGGGGAAUUUUGGACAAUGGGCGCAAGCCUGAUCCAGCAAUGCCGCGUGCAGGAAGAAGGCCUUCGGGUUGUAAACUGCUUUUGUACGGAACGAAACGGUCCGGGUUAAUACCCUGGGCUAAUGACGGUACCGUAAGAAUAAGCACCGGCUAACUACGUGCCAGCAGCCGCAGUAA
RNAcentral lists this ribosomal RNA (498 nucleotides) under uncultured bacterium. RNAcentral's name for it is "partial 16S ribosomal RNA". It matches the Rfam family "Bacterial small subunit ribosomal RNA", at positions 29 to 523 of the family's 1533-position model. The record is from RNAcentral.